Pelobates cultripes (western spadefoot toad) is the source of this 214-nucleotide non-coding RNA. Lineage: Eukaryota; Metazoa; Chordata; Amphibia; Anura; Pelobatidae. The record is from the annotation of a GenBank genome assembly.
UCCAGUCAACCUCAUCCAAUAAGAAAUGAAUGGCCAGAAACAGAUUGAGAAAAGGAUACCGCAAUACCUAGACUAGACAAGACACCCUCACUCUGUACGGCUAUAAAAUACCUCCCCCAAAAGCCGUUGCUUCGUUACUAGUUAGCACUAUGCAAAAUGAACAGAGGUUUCAAACACAACUGGAUUGCAAAAUGCAUCACAGUGCUACCAAAAU